Molecule: small RNA, 127 nt
Filed under: Salmonella enterica
Lineage: Bacteria; Pseudomonadati; Pseudomonadota; Gammaproteobacteria; Enterobacterales; Enterobacteriaceae
Also listed under: 6 other names
Description: partial RtT sRNA
Rfam family: RtT RNA
About the family: This family represents a bacterial cis-regulatory element known as RtT RNA. The exact function of RtT is unknown although it is thought that it may be involved in changing the cellular response in relation to amino acid starvation.
Source: RNAcentral
UCUCCGUACGGGGAAGGAUGAGAAGCUUCGACUAAGGUUCGAUUCGAGCGCAGCGAGAAAGCGUUGCCGCAGGCAACGACCCGAAGGGCGAAGCGCGCAGCGCUGAGUCAUCCUUCCCCCACCACCA